GACGAACGCUGGCGGCGUGCUUAACACAUGCAAGUCGAACGGAGCACCCUUGACUGAGGUUUCGGCCAAAUGAUAGGAAUGCUUAGUGGCGGACUGGUGAGUAACGCGUGAGGAACCUACCUUCCAGAGGGGGACAACAGUUGGAAACGACUGCUAAUACCGCAUGACGCAUGACCGGGGCAUCCCGGGCAUGUCAAAGAUUUUAUCGCUGGAAGAUGGCCUCGCGUCUGAUUAGCUAGAUGGUGGGGUAACGGCCCACCAUGGCGACGAUCAGUAGCCGGACUGAGAGGUUGACCGGCCACAUUGGGACUGAGAUACGGCCCAGACUCCUACGGGAGGCAGCAGUGGGGAAUAUUGGGCAAUGGACGCAAGUCUGACCCAGCAACGCCGCGUGAAGGAAGAAGGCUUUCGGGUUGUAAACUUCUUUUGUCAGGGAAGAGUAGAAGACGGUACCUGACGAAUAAGCCACGGCUAA
This 475-nucleotide ribosomal RNA is filed under the name uncultured bacterium. RNAcentral's name for it is "bacterial SSU rRNA". It matches the Rfam family "Bacterial small subunit ribosomal RNA", at positions 28 to 500 of the family's 1533-position model. The record is from RNAcentral.